AUGUUGUCAAUUCUCAUGUUUACUAUGAUAAUCUGGAUUUCACAGAUAGCACCUUGCAUUGACCUGGUCCUUUGCCAUUAUUGCUGCCUCUGCUCUCCCUCUUCUCUUGCACAGCAUGUAGCAGGUGGAAAACCUCCAGGUGUUAUGCAAGGUCAACACUUCAGAGUACUGAAGUGGCUCUGCAAUGGCUUUUAUGAGACUGUACUCCAAAGCAGAAAAGCCUUCUGGGAACCAAGCCUCAGGCUGGAUCCAUCCCUAACCAAAGUUGUGACUUACUCCAGGGAGAGUGGGAUGCUCCUUUUGUUCCUGAUGAAUGGCUACUUGUUUCUGCAAGCAAAUCAUGAAAUGCCAGAAAUUGCAAGUGAAAUACAGGGAUUUAUUCAUGAUGAAGACAACAAAUUCAGAAUCUCUCCACAAUUAAAAGUUUUCAGGUACACCAUGUUCAGUUCAGUACCUAAAACUCUGGGAUUUGGCUGGAAAAUAUUAGACUAAUCCCCAGUAACUUUCAGGAUCUAAGAUCAUCUGAAUUAUUUAUAAGGUAUGUUUUGAAACAGAUUUGGAAUAUGGAUAUUUUAACAAAUGUUUGUGUAACACAUAGACUUUCCAAUCUAAUGAUUAGGAAGAGUAGGAUCCCCCGGUAUUAAAGGCACACUAACAGCCUUUUAAAAAAUAAAUCUUUAGGAGGCAGGACUGCUGCA
This 698-nucleotide long non-coding RNA is filed under the name Cyanistes caeruleus (blue tit). RNAcentral's name for it is "lncRNA (ENSCCEG00000009008.1)". The record is from RNAcentral. Lineage: Eukaryota; Metazoa; Chordata; Aves; Passeriformes; Paridae.